RNAcentral lists this ribosomal RNA (448 nucleotides) under uncultured bacterium. RNAcentral describes it as "partial 16S ribosomal RNA". It matches the Rfam family "Bacterial small subunit ribosomal RNA", at positions 329 to 794 of the family's 1533-position model. The record is from RNAcentral.
UGCCAGACUCCUACGGGAGGCAGCAGUGGGGAAUAUUGCACAAUGGGGGGAACCCUGAUGCAGCGACGCCGCGUGGGUGAAGGAGCACCUCGGUGCGUAAAGCCCUAUCGGCAGGGAAGAAACAGACGGUACCUGACUAAGAAGCCCCGGCUAACUACGUGCCAGCAGACGCGGUAAUACGUAGGGGGCAAGCGUUAUCCGGAUUCACUGGGUGUAAAGGGAGCGUAGACGGCGACGCAAGUCUGGAGUGAAAGCCCGGGGCCCAACCCCGGGACUGCUCUGGAAACUGCGGCGCUGGGGUACGGGAGGGGCAGGCGGAAUUCCUGGUGUAGCGGUGAAAUGCGUAGAUAUCAGGAGGAACACCGGCGGCGAAGGCGGCCUGCUGGACCGUGACUGACGUUGAGGCUCGAAAGCGUGGGGAGCAAACAGGAUUAGAUACCCGGGUAAA